CCCGUUGUAACUUAGCCCGGUAGAGUGCCCGGCUGUAGUUCUUGUAAUUCGUCUCAACUUUUGGGAUGGGUACUGAUAAUAGUCACCGGGAUGUCGCCGGAUCAAAUCCGGCCAACGGGA
RNAcentral lists this transfer RNA (120 nucleotides) under Candidatus Heimdallarchaeota archaeon LC_3. RNAcentral describes it as "tRNA-Tyr". It matches the Rfam family "tRNA". From Rfam's summary of the family: Transfer RNA (tRNA) molecules are approximately 80 nucleotides in length. The record is from RNAcentral. Lineage: Archaea; Promethearchaeati; Candidatus Heimdallarchaeota.